GCCCCUCCCCCAGCCUGUCUUCCGCCUUGCAGUUUGAUCUCAGACUGCUGUGCUAGCAAUCAGCGAGACUCCGUGGGCGUAGGACCCUCCGAGCCAGGCAUCAGCUAUCAAAACUUAUGGGAAAUGGAAUUGAAGACAACUACUUCUAGAAUUGGUGCAUGGAAGCUUCUCAUAGGUGAUUAGCCACACUCUUCUUCUGUCAACCUGGUGCAGAAAAGCUUGAAGACCUUGGAAAUCACAUAUUGAUGAUGGAGGAGAUACAAGAAUGAAGGACCCUGGGUUCCUGAAUCAACACUCUAAGAAGAGACUCCUUGAAAUCAAGAGCACUCAUUUUGACAUUGCAAACGGAAAAAUUCACUUCUAUCAGGUUUGAACCAAUAUAUAGUUUAGGGUUUUUAAAAAAUAACUGUUAGCAUGACUUUAACUAAUACACAUGCCAUACAGGAUCAGACCUCUGUGACUUUGCUUUUACAGUCUGCUCUGUCUGGAGGGGAGUUUCAUCUUUGCCAUCCUUAAUGAUAUAGCAUAGACGCUAUGUCCUCCAGAAACUUCCUUGGCAC
RNAcentral lists this long non-coding RNA (560 nucleotides) under Homo sapiens (human). Its description in RNAcentral is "non-protein coding lnc-ALX1-2:11". Lineage: Eukaryota; Metazoa; Chordata; Mammalia; Primates; Hominidae. The record is from RNAcentral.